This 411-nucleotide long non-coding RNA is filed under the name Ananas comosus (pineapple). RNAcentral's name for it is "long non-coding RNA (ACOM_LNC024911)". The record is from RNAcentral. Lineage: Eukaryota; Viridiplantae; Streptophyta; Magnoliopsida; Poales; Bromeliaceae.
UAGCUAUUUUAAUACCAUGUGAAACAACAUAUCAAUUUACGAACUUUAGCGAAUAGCUUAAAAAUAUUGCAUAAUAUUUUAUAUUAAAUACUUGGAUCUAAUCUGUAACACUUCUAGGAUUUGAAACAGUCUCCUCUCUCUCUCUCUCUCUCUCUCUAUAUAUAGAAUUAGGCCGGAAUGUUAUCAAUAAUACCAAGCUAUUGGUGCUAUUAAAUUUUCGGCUUUUGGAUGAAAAAAUGUACGACUAAGAUGAUGUGAAUCCUCUUCGAUUGAGUUAUUAGUUUAAUAGUAUAAUCUAACAGAUAAAAAUAGUCAAAGAGUUAAACCUGAUAGUGAAAAACUUGAUAUCAACAAACGCUUGGUGCAUAAUAUCCCAGCUAGAUUCUCUCUCUCUCUAUAUAUAUAUAUAAU